CAGCCGCCGCGGGAAUACGGAGGGUGCAAGCGUUAUCCGGAUUUAUUGGGUUUAAAGGGUCCGUAGGCGGAUCUGUAAGUCAGUGGUGAAAUCUCACAGCUUAACUGUGAAACUGCCAUUGAUACUGCAGGUCUUGAGUAAAUUUGAAGUGGCUGGAAUAAGUAGUGUAGCGGUGAAAUGCAUAGAUAUUACUUAGAACACCAAUUGCGAAGGCAGGUCACUAAGAUUUAACUGACGCUGAUGGACGAAAGCGUGGGGAGCGAACAGGAUCAGAUACCCGCGUAGUCCCUGUCUCUUAUAC
Molecule: ribosomal RNA, 301 nt
Filed under: uncultured bacterium
Lineage: Bacteria
Description: partial 16S ribosomal RNA
Rfam family: Bacterial small subunit ribosomal RNA
Source: RNAcentral